Molecule: ribosomal RNA, 933 nt
Filed under: uncultured bacterium
Lineage: Bacteria
Description: bacterial SSU rRNA
Rfam family: Bacterial small subunit ribosomal RNA
Source: RNAcentral
UGCAAGUCGAACGGUAUACCUUUGGGUAUAUAGUGGCGGACGGGUGAGUAACACGUAGUCAACCUACCCAACAGUGGGGAAUAACCCCUCGAAAGAGGAGCUAACACCGCAUACGCUCUCAGUCGUUGGACGGAGAGGAAACCUUGGUAGUGAAAUACCUGGGGCUGAUGGAUGGGACUGCGGCGGAUUAGCUAGAUGGUGGGGUAACGGCCUACCAUGGCGACGAUCCGUAGCUGGUCUGAGAGGACGACCAGCCACACUGGGACUGAGACACGGCCCAGACUCCUACGGGAGGCAGCAGUGAGGAAUAUUCCACAAUGGGCGAAAGCCUGAUGGAGCGACGCCGCGUGCGGGAAGAAGCCUUUCGGGGUGUAAACCGCUUUUCUUUGGGAUGAUACGUUCGGUUAGUAGCCGGACUAAGACAGUACCAGAGGAAUAAGCAUCGGCUAACUACGUGCCAGCAGCCGCGGUAAUACGUAGGAUGCAAGCGUUGUCCGGAUUUACUGGGCGUAAAGCGCGCGCAGGCGGCACGCAAAGUACCUUAUGAAAUCUCCUUGCUCAACGGGGAGGGUGUGGGGUAAACUGGCGAGCUAGAGAGCGGUAGAGGGGGGUAGAAUUGCUGGUGUAGCGGUGAAAUGCGUAGAGAUCAGCAGGAAUACCCGUGGCGAAGGCGGCCCCCUGGGCCGUAUCUGACGCUGAGGCGCGAAGGCUAGGGGAGCGAACGGGAUUAGAUACCCCGGUAGUCCUAGCAGUAAACGAUGGCCACUAGGUGUGGGGGGUGUUGACCCCCUCUGUGCCGAAGCUAACGCAUUAAGUGGCCCGCCUGGGGAGUACGGUCGCAAGACUAAAACUCAAAGGAAUUGACGGGGACCCGCACAAGCAGCGGAGCGUGUGGUUUAAUUCGAUGCGACGCGAAGAACCUUACCAGGGCUU